UAAGCAAUUAUACCGCGAAACUGCGAAUGGCUCAUUAUAUAAGUUAUAGUUUAUUUGAUAGCACCUUACUACAUGGAUAACUGUGGUAAUUCUAGAGCUAAAACAUGCUAAAAAUCCCGACUUCGGAAGGGAUGUGUUUAUUAGAUUAAAAACCAAUGCCCUUCGGGGCUGCUUGGUGAUUCAUGAUAACCUCUCGAAUCGCACGGCCUUGCGCCGGCGAUGGUUCAUUCAAAUUUCUUCCCUAUCAACUUUCGAUGCGAAGGUAUUGUCUUCGCAUGGUUACAACGGGUAACGGAGGGUUAGGGCUCGACCCCGGAGAAGGAGCCUGAGAAACGGCUACUACAUCCAAGGAAGGCAGCAGGCGCGCAAAUUACCCAAUCCCGACACGGGGAGGUAGUGACAAUAAAUACUGAUACAGGGCUCUUUUGGGUCUUGUAAUUGGAAUGAGUACAAUUUAAAUCCCUUAACGGGGAACAAUUGGAGGGCAAGUCUGGUGCCAGCAGCCGCGGUAAUUCCAGCUCCAAUAGCGUAUAUUAAAGUUGUUGUGGUUAAAAAGCUCGUAGUUGAACCUUGGGCCUGGCUGGCCGGUCCCCCUCACCGGGUGCACUGGUCCGGCCGGGCCUUUCCCUCUGUGGAACCGCAUGCCCUUCACUGGGUGUGCCGGGGAAACAGGACUUUUACUUUGAAAAAAUUAGAGUGCUCCAGGCAGGCCUAUGCUCGAAUACAUUAGCAUGGAAUAAUAGAAUAGGACGUGUGGUUCUAUUUUGUUGGUUUCUAGGACCGCCGUAAUGAUUAAUAGGGACAGUCGGGGGCAUCAGUAUUCAAUUGUCAGAGGUGAAAUUCUUGGAUCUAUUGAAGACUAACUACUGCGAAAGCAUUUGCCAAGGAUGUUUUCAUUGAUAAGGAACGAAAGUUAGGGGAUCGAAGACGAUCAGAUACCGUCGUAGUCUUAACUAUAAACUAUGCCGACUAGGGAUCGGACGGUGUUUAUACUUGACCCGUUCGGCACC
Molecule: ribosomal RNA, 1010 nt
Filed under: Graphium penicillioides
Lineage: Eukaryota; Fungi; Ascomycota; Sordariomycetes; Microascales; Graphiaceae
Description: SSU rRNA
Rfam family: Eukaryotic small subunit ribosomal RNA
Source: RNAcentral